Molecule: ribosomal RNA, 253 nt
Filed under: uncultured bacterium
Lineage: Bacteria
Description: partial 16S ribosomal RNA
Rfam family: Bacterial small subunit ribosomal RNA
Source: RNAcentral
UACGUAGGUGGCAAGCGUUGUCCGGAAUUAUUGGGCGUAAAGCGCGCGCAGGCGGUCCUUUAAGUCUGAUGUGAAAGCCCACGGCUUAACCGUGGAGGGUCAUUGGAAACUGGGGGACUUGAGUACAGAAGAGAAGAGUGGAAUUCCACGUGUAGCGGUGAAAUGCGUAGAGAUGUGGAGGAACACCAGUGGCGAAGGCGACUCUUUGGUCUGUAACUGACGCUGAGGCGCGAAAGCGUGGGGAGCAAACAGG